Non-coding RNA from Triticum urartu, 107 nucleotides. NCBI's taxonomy places the organism in Eukaryota, Viridiplantae, Streptophyta, Magnoliopsida, Poales, Poaceae. The record is from Rfam.
AGCCCAUGAUUAGGACAUCUCUUGAAUAAGGCUUUGUACCUCUCCCAAGCAUCAUACAAACUCUCGCCUUCACACUGAACGAAGUUGAAGAUCUCAUCUCAGAUCGC